AGAGUUUGAUCAUGGCUCAGAUUGAACGCUGGCGGCAGGCUUAACACAUGCAAGUCGAGCGGAGAUGAGGUGCUUGCACCUUAUCUUAGCGGCGGACGGGUGAGUAAUGCUUAGGAAUCUGCCUAUUAGUGGGGGACAACAUUUCGAAAGGAAUGCUAAUACCGCAUACGCCCUACGGGGGAAAGCAGGGGAUCUUCGGACCUUGCGCUAAUAGAUGAGCCUAAGUCGGAUUAGCUAGUUGGUGGGGUAAAGGCCUACCAAGGCGACGAUCUGUAGCGGGUCUGAGAGGAUGAUCCGCCACACUGGGACUGAGACACGGCCCAGACUCCUACGGGAGGCAGCAGUGGGGAAUAUUGGACAAUGGGGGGAACCCUGAUCCAGCCAUGCCGCGUGUGUGAAGAAGGCCUUUUGGUUGUAAAGCACUUUAAGCGAGGAGGAGGAGCUCUAGAUUAAUACUCUAGAUGCUUGGACGUUACUCGCAGAAUAAGCACCGGCUAACUCUGUGCCAGCAGCCGCGGUAAUACAGAGGGUGCAAGCGUUAAUCGGAUUUACCGGGCGUAAAGCGUGCGUAGGUGGUCUUUUAAGUCGGAUGUGAAAUCCCUGAGCUUAACUUAGGAAUUGCAUUCGAUACUGGGAGACUAGAGUAUGGGAGAGGAUGGUAGAAUUCCAGGUGUAGCGGUGAAAUGCGUAGAGAUCUGGAGGAAUACCGAUGGCGAAGGCAGCCAUCUGGCCUAAUACUGACACUGAGGUACGAAAGCAUGGGGAGCAAACAGGAUUAGAUACCCUGGUAGUCCAUGCCGUAAACGAUGUCUACUAGCCGUUGGGGCCUUUGAGGCUUUAGUGGGCGCAGCUAACSCGAUAAGUAGACCGCCUGGGGAGUACGGUCGCAAGACUAAAACUCAAAUGAAUUGACGGG
Molecule: ribosomal RNA, 916 nt
Filed under: uncultured Gammaproteobacteria bacterium
Lineage: Bacteria; Pseudomonadati; Pseudomonadota; Gammaproteobacteria
Description: bacterial SSU rRNA
Rfam family: Bacterial small subunit ribosomal RNA
Source: RNAcentral